This 73-nucleotide transfer RNA is filed under the name Acropora cervicornis. RNAcentral describes it as "tRNA-Ala". It matches the Rfam family "tRNA". Rfam says of the family: Transfer RNA (tRNA) molecules are approximately 80 nucleotides in length. Their secondary structure includes four short double-helical elements and three loops (D, anti-codon, and T loops). Further hydrogen bonds mediate the characteristic L-shaped molecular structure. tRNAs have two regions of fundamental functional importance: the anti-codon, which is responsible for specific mRNA codon recognition, and the 3' end, to which the tRNAs corresponding amino acid is attached (by aminoacyl-tRNA synthetases). tRNAs cope with the degeneracy of the genetic code in two manners: having more than one tRNA (with a specific anti-codon) for a particular amino acid; and 'wobble' base-pairing, i.e. permitting non-standard base-pairing at the 3rd anti-codon position. The record is from RNAcentral. Lineage: Eukaryota; Metazoa; Cnidaria; Anthozoa; Scleractinia; Acroporidae.
GGCCUGGUAGCUCAACUGGUGGAGCACUGCACUGGCAUUGCAGGGGUCAGGGUUCAAAUCCCUGUUCAGGCCU